This 5261-nucleotide long non-coding RNA is filed under the name Sorghum bicolor (sorghum). RNAcentral's name for it is "long non-coding RNA (SBIC_LNC000519)". The record is from RNAcentral. Lineage: Eukaryota; Viridiplantae; Streptophyta; Magnoliopsida; Poales; Poaceae.
CUCUCAACAAUAGCUAGUGACUUCCUAAUAGCUAUCGACUUUCUAAGCUAGCUAUUUGCAAAUUGCCAUUGAGAGCUAAUAAUAUUCUUCCUAGAGAUCAAAUAGCUAGCAAUUUAAACACCAUUGCGGACGACCUGAUGGGGCAUUACACCUCUAAAACCACCUUAUCAAAUGGGUCCUUUUUGGGCCAGUGUUGGACCACAUUGCUCCUUGGUGGGCCUCCUUCUUUGCUAAGAACAUUGAGGGUCACAUCCCAAAGGGUCCCUUUUGCCACACACGCAGAGCUCUUUUUCUAUGUCUUCUGAAGGCUCGGUCUUGGUGAUGAUCUCCCGAAGCCUUCGUUGUCUCAACCAGCUUGAGAUUAGCGUCUAUGGUGUCGCAAGCUCGCUAGAGAUGGGUGAGUGGUCAUGGGGAGGUUCAGGUUCCAGGAUCGAAGAAGCAGAGAAGACGUUGGGAAGGGGAACAAUAGAGGAGAUAGACGAGGACAGCUUGAUUCAAAAUUCGUAGUUCAAAGUUAUUACAAUACUUGUCCUCUCCUCUUCCUCUUUGUCUCAUAAAUAUAGUAAUAUGAUUACAUGUUCCACUCAGGCACUCACAAUGCAGACUCUAUCUUAGAGUCUAAAGUUAUUUAUUAUCUCGAACAAUAUGGACUUAAAGUCUAAAUAAGUUUUGGAAUCUUAUUUUUUCUACCUAUUUCUUGAUAAAUAUGCUGCCACAUCAGCAAAAUAUCAUAAAUAAUAUAUAAUUAAUUAUCUUGGACUUUAUGAUAGAGUCUUGCAUUGUGAGUGCCCUCAGGGCCAGUCACUCUAGUGUUGAGGCGACGCGCGAGAACAAGACAUGAACUGGUCAAUGCAAUAGGUAUCAAACAUCCAUAGUUCAACACAAGACCUUGGUAGUCGUACACAAAAAAUGUCCUAUUUGUCAUGUAACUGUCGCUAGGUAAGAAAUAGCGGUGACUCAUGUUUUCAAACCUGGCGACUCAUGUUUUCAAACCUCUGUUGCUAGUACAUUCUAAAACAAGAAGGUUAAGACAACCGCAUUAAUAAGUGAAAAUGACACUGUGACCACACAACAAAAGUAUAUGUGGCUUUCCCUGUGCAAAUUGUCCACCUCAACAUGAUCUUCAACUAUAUGAAGCGGACAUGAUGACUGGGAUUUCGCAUAGAACCUGAUUUCUCAUCGAUCUUUUGAACAAUUAACUUCUAAUUUAACGAUAUAUAUCUUGUUGUAGCAUCAUGUCGUUACCAAAAAAUGUGUUCUCUUGAUUGAGAAGUUGUUCUCAUUAAAGGGAAACGAGCAAUGUCCAGUCGUUGUCCCCGUUGAAGCCAUCGUGUUUUCUUGGUGUUUUCUUCUUGCACAUGUUCUCCUUGGUCCACAUGCAAUAUAUAUUCCCCUGCAUCUCAAAGAAAACACAGACAAGCAGCCGGAAUCGAAAACGAAAAUAGCUGCAGAGCCCGUUGUUGACUCGACAAAUGUACUGGUUGUGCCCCAGCAUAUGAAAGAAACGACUCAUGGUUAUUUGAUAUUAAAGGCAUGUCUAUGAGACCAUGAGGCAAAUGGUGUCUCCCAAAUCUUAUCUUUUUUUUUAAUACUAAGAUACACCCUUUACUUCUUAAGAGGUAAAAUCUCAAAUAAAUCUAAGGCAUUAAUUCUUUUGAAUUUUAUGAGUUUUUAAAUUAUUUAGUCAAUUAAUUAAUUAAUAAAGAAAAAGAUAAAUUAUUGUUGACUCCUUAAACCAUGAGGAAAGAAGUCGUGGGUGCCCCUUCCUUUUCCGUGGUCCAUGAAUAAUUUGCGAGAACAAAAACAUGCAGUCGUGCGCAACACCUGGGAUAUAUUAAAUUAACAAGACACAUAUUUUAAAUAUCUAUCCACACAAUUACUUUAAAUCUCAAUGAACGAUUGUAUUAAAGUGCUUAAAUAGUAUACAAAAGUCGAGAAACAAGUCAGUCUAACUUCGUCGCAAAAAGAAAAUAAAAAAAAACAAGGUAGUGCUAACUAAUAAAAACUAUUAAAGAAGUCAUAUUAUGAAUAUACUAUGUCACGUCACAUGCAAAUGAAGUACACUUCACGUUGGCACAUAUGCAAAUCACAUUCAUGCGAAUUGAGAUGUAUUCAGUCUAUGUAAAAUUACAUGCUAUAAUCAAAAUAUAUCCAAAGUUCCAAAACCAAAAAGAUUUAUCAUAUCCACCAGAUCACGCAUGCAUGUCAAAUCUAGGAAGAAGAUUUUUUUUAUAUCAAAAUCUUUCCUAAUUUAUCCUACUUUACAAAAUAAAAAAUUAAAUAAACAUAUAUUUCACCUAUUACCUUCUUAGAGGUAAUAUGUGACCAUAGCCGUCAGAUCAAACUAAAUAAACAGCUCAUAGUCAUUUGGGUGUAUCAUAGCAAAGCUCCUUCUUUUGCUUCUUUUUUCUUAUUAAAAAAAGAAUCAAAAGAUGAUGAUGGCCAUGACGAGGAUGAUAAUGGUGCUUGGAUUAGGUGUUAGUCGUUCUAAACUAGCUUUCAAAAGCUCUGUUCCAUGGCCCCAAGCAACCUUCUCUGAUCAAUUUGUAGCCAAGAGAUUCAGCAGUCAAUUUGGGAUGGCUAAUCCCCUUUUGCUUGUUGGGACGACACGGACACCCACAAGUCCUACUUCACUCGUGUCCGAGUGCGAGUAGUUACGCAAUGACAUUAUUAACGUAUUCACUGGCAUUCUUUGUAGGAGCUGUUUGAGCGGAAAUAACAACAAUAUAAGGUCAGUACGUAGGAGAUUUUGGUCACUACAUGUUCUACAGAGAGACAAAACGAUGCUUCGGCCGUGUCAUCUUUUGUGGCAUGCGUUCAUGUCUGAUAACGUACGUUUUUGCUGACCUUUUUACUUGUUCCAUUCUUAUUUUCUAAGAUAAACAGUAGGUGCUUGGCCCCCCUUGUUCCAUCAAAAAAUGUUUGGUAAACUUGCUAUACACUUGUCUUUCGAGAGCAGAGGUAUUCUUGACCAUAAUAACUAAGUCGUUCCUUUCUUACAAAAUAAGAAUGGAAAAAAAAUCACUGUACAGUAAUUAGGUACGCCAUAUGACGCAGUAUAUGGCGUGGCCAUCAAACGCAAACAAGAUGCUUUUAUUAUUUUUUAAAAAAAGAAAUAUGUGGUAUAUAAACAUUUUAUCUUACUAUUACUAAUUAGAAGGCCCAACGAAAACACCACAUUAAUUUUCAUUAGACGCACUAGAAAAAAAAUAAAUCCUAAAAAUUCUUACAAUAAUUAGAAAUAUCUAGCCUUUAAUUUGGUAGACUCCAAUCAUCACCGCCGAUAAUAGCCAUUAGAUCUAUUGUAAUUUAUAAAAAAAUAUCCACCUCCGCCAAUAUAAAAAAUACAUAAAGUACCCCCUAAAUGUUGCAUAUAAAUUACCCGCCUCUGCCAUUAGGAAAGAUAAUUCAAAAUAACCCACUGAAUUUGUAUAUAUAUUACCCACGUUUGUCAUUAUAAAACAUAAUUUAAAUAAACCCCCUCACGUUGAAUGUAAAUUACCCACCAUUGCUACUAUGAAAGAAAAUUAUAAAAAAAACCUCUAACUUUGUAUCUAGAUUACCUACCUCUAUAAUUAUGAAAGAUAAUUUAAAAUAUAACCCACUAAUUUUGUAUCUAGAUUACUCAAAUAUGUCAUUAUUAAAGAUAAUUUAAAAUACACAAUAAUAAUUUUAUAGAUUAUCAACCUUUGUAAUUAUGAAAGAUCCUGAAAAGUAACCUUCUAAAUUUACAUUCAACCUACCCAUAUAUGUUGUUAUGGAAGAAUAAAGUGUUACCUUUAUAUCUACCUCAACCAUAAAAAAAUAAACAACAUGUCUCAAAUUUAUGUGUAAAUACUAAUAUAUGCUAUUACAAAAAAAAUACAUUGAUAUCUUUAAAGUACGAGACAUACAUAUUUCUAAAUAAUAAACUUUCUAAAUCCAUGAAAUUCAAUAACCAUAAUGUUAUGUUUCACCAUUUAUACUAAGUAAACAUUUAUACAUUAGGGUAUAUAUUUAUUUUAAUAGCUUAUGAAGCAUGGAAAUAUGUUUAAUUGACAAACAUAUAGAAAUAACAUACCAUUGACAAUUCAAUUUAAGUUAUAUUAAUACUAGAUGAUAAUCAAUUUUAUAAGUUGUUAUUUUAAAUAACAUUAUAUAGAUUUAAAUGGAAAAAUUAUGUCAUAUCAGUAAUUGUAAUUUAAUAUUAAGCAUUAUAUGAUAUAUAAGACAAUAGUAGACAUAUAUAAUCAUGUGGUAUAAUAAAUUCAACAAGUCCAAUGCUAGGGUACAAUAUGAGUUUCAACUUAAUUAAUAUGUGAAAAACAAUACUACUAGGACUUAAACUCUUUUUUAAUAAAACACUAAUUUUUGAAAAAAAAAUGAUAAAAAAACUUGUAUAACUCCAUUGAAUGUCGAAAGCUAAACUAUAAUUUAUGAAGUUUAAAAAAGGACGCAACUAGAUUUCAUAUAUUUUAAUAUUAUGUUUCGACUAAACAAAUGUCAUGCUAAACACUAGAAAAUGUAACUAAGGAUCUCCAAUGGAGCCUCCAUGUUAAUCCUCAUGAAACACAAUAGGGGAAAAAGUCAGAUCCUCUAAAUUCUCUCAAAAAUCUAAAACAUUUAAGUAUCAACUCGGCAUAACCUAACCACCAUUGGUAAUAAUAGCUAUACUGGAUCUAUUCAUAAAUAAUUACCUACCUCUACUAUUGCAUAAAACAACAUAAGGAAAACACAUGACUCUAUAUUCAAAUUACCCACUAUGCCAUUAAGAAAUAUGAUUUAAAGUAUACCUAAACUUGCACCUAAUUACCCACGUUUCCUUAUUAUGGUAGAUAAUUUAUAUAACCCAAUUUUUAUGAAAAAAGAAUGCGAUUGAAAACUGAAAGCUAAACUAUAAUUUAUGGAGUAACAAAAAGAGAUGCAACUAGAGUUUAUAUAUUUUAAUAUUAUGUUUUAACUAAAUACAUGUCAUGAUAAAAUAAAUACUAGAAAUUCUAACUAGAGAUCUCUAAUGGAGACUCCAGGUUAAUACUCAUGAGACAUGUUAAUCCCCAUCAGACACAAUAGAAAAAAAUAGAUUCUAAAACUUCACAAAAAUCUGAAAUAUUUAACUAUCAAUUUGGUAUAACCUAAUCACCGUUGAUAAUAAUAGCUAUGGGAUCUAUUCCAUAAAUAAUUUCCCACUGCUAUUGCAUAAAACAUUGUAAGAUAACACAUGACUUAUAUUCAAACUACCCACAUAUGCACUAUUAAGGAAAAUGAUCAAAAGUAUACUCCCU